GGAAAGAAGAAUCCCAAACACACUAAUACAUCAACGUAAAAAUCUAAAUCGAAUUAGGUAAAAAAAACUUAAGCACGUUCUCCACGAAUCCUUCUAGCCAAUUGAAUGUCCUUAGGCAUGAUCGUAACCCUUUUAGCGUGAAUAGCGCAAAGAUUGGUAUCCUCGAAAAGUCCAACAAGGUAUGCCUCAGCCGCCUCUUGAAGAGCUAACACCGCGUGACUCUGAAACCUCAGAUCCGUCUGCAAAUUCCAAUUCACAAAUUAGUAAACCUAAUUCCACAAUAUCAUCUCAAUCCGCCGCUAAUCUAUCUAGGAUCAAGUUUAUGAGAAUUAAUUGUACCUUGAAGUCCUGAGCGAUUUCACGAACGAGACGCUGGAAGGGAAGCUUGCGGAUCAACAAUUCAGUGCUCUUCUGGUAUUUACGAAUCUCACGAAGAGCGACGGUUCCGGGACGGUAACGGUGAGGCUUCUUGACUCCUCCGGUGGUCGGUGCAGAUUUCCUCGCCGCCUGUAUUUAAAGAAUUCGUUAGAGACGCAAUCAAAAAUUCAGCUUAGAUAUAAACCCUAGAUCCCCUUUCAACCAAUUUCAUCAGCAAAAAAAUCAAAACCUCAAGAUUCCACCUAAAUUAAGAUCAUAAACUCAAAUUUCAACUAAAUUUACAAAACCUAGGUCAUCUUUUACUGAUUUAAAACUCCUAAUUCAACGCAAAUUUGAACCCUAGAUCUACUUAUUGCGUACAAGACGAGAGAUGAAAGAACAAACCU
RNAcentral lists this long non-coding RNA (764 nucleotides) under Arabidopsis lyrata. Its description in RNAcentral is "long non-coding RNA (ALYR_LNC001190)". Lineage: Eukaryota; Viridiplantae; Streptophyta; Magnoliopsida; Brassicales; Brassicaceae. The record is from RNAcentral.